GACGAACGCUGGCGGCGUGCUUAACACAUGCAAGUCGAACGGAAAGGCCCUGCUUUUGUGGGGUGCUCGAGUGGCGAACGGGUGAGUAACCCGUGAGUAACCUGCCCUUGACUUUGGGAUAACUUCAGGAAACUGGGGCUAAUACCGGAUAGGAGCUCCUGCUGCAUGGGGGGGGUUGGAAAGUUUCGGCGGUUGUGGAUGGACUGGCGGCUUAUCAGCUUGUUGGUGGGGUAGUGGCUUACCAAGGCUUUGACGGGUAGCCGGCCUGAGAGGGUGACCGGCGACAUUGGGACUGAGAUACGGCCCAGACGCGUACGGGAGGCAGCAGUGGGGAAUAUUGCACAAUGGGCGGAAGCCUGAUGCAGCAACGCCGCGUGCGGGAUGACGGCCUUCGGGUUGUAAACCGCUUUCGCCUGUGACGAAGCGUGAGUGACGGUAAUGGGUAAAGAAGCACCGGCUAACUACGUG
RNAcentral lists this ribosomal RNA (468 nucleotides) under uncultured bacterium. Its description in RNAcentral is "partial 16S ribosomal RNA". It matches the Rfam family "Bacterial small subunit ribosomal RNA", at positions 28 to 507 of the family's 1533-position model. The record is from RNAcentral.